GAAUCACCGAACCGCUUCUUCUCGCGAACGGCAUGCUGCUCGUGUCGGCUAUCCUUGUCCAUCCCUAUAUACCCUCGAUGUCUACUCCAGCAUUUCCCUAAGCUCCGCAAAACAUCUUAUUCGCUUAACACAAUUACCUCGUCCACCCCAGUGUCACUUGCAGUUUUCCUAUUCCCUCACAAAAUUUCCUCGCCCUCUACGCAGAUAUGUAACUCCCUAUAUCCGAAUCAAGCGAGCGGGAUCCCCUUCAGUUACCAGCCUCCCCCUUUCUCAAUCGCAGCCAAUCUCCCUUCCCUCUCUCCCUCCGCUAUACCCGGCAACCAGAUCGACCAAAACCGCUGUCGGCAAUCACCGUCCCUGAAGCACACAGUGACGUCCUCCGAAGCCCCCCGGUGCCCGUUCCUGAAGCGACGCGCGCGAUCGACGAUUGCUCAGGUACAAUCCUCCACGUGCAGGCCCUGCUUGCGUGUUUACACAGCUCGCAGGCUCGUUGGCCGGUGCUGCCCACGGCAGGCACGGUGGCUGGGCCUCUCCCACGCGUCCCUAGUCCCGUCUCCGGCUGAGCCGACACCGGUGGCCAGCGCCCGCGCAGGCGAGUCCGUGGCCAAGCUCCUGGCCGGCGCGGCAGCGUGGCCUGGAGCCGCUGAGCGCCUCGGCGUGCAGACCCCCGCGCCUCGGUCCGACAUGGAGGUUGGGAGCAGCCGCUGCGCUCGGGGCCGCGCUGUAGAGCUGCUCCUUGCACGUCCGCCCUCAGCUUUCCAGCCACGCUCGCUCGUCCGGCCUCCUCUGCUCUUCCCCGGUGAGCCCCUGCAGAUCUCGCCCGCCAGCGAGCUUCCUCAACGCGCGCAGCCCCACCUUCGCACGACUCCCUUGGCUCGGUCGAGCAGGGCCAUGGCCAUGGCCAUCCUCUCCUACCCGUCCUCCAUUCUCUCUGUUCUAUCCCGAGGUGGAAGAAAGCCGAAAUAGAACCGUCGUGCGGUUAAUAGGCUCACAGUAGAGUAGGAAACCAAUUGCUUUCCCCCAAAUUCAUGUGGCCACGUGUUAGCAUGCCAUUGGCAUUUCUAAUUUGUGUGAUCUUCUAUGGCCACAACCGUGCGACCCUAUUUGAGACUCAUUUUUUCGGCUAAUAGAAAUGUGUCGUAUCACAGUAAUCUGUGAGAUACUAAAUAUUCAAUAUAUUUUGUGUCCCAAAUCCGUUUUAAUCCAUUCCAGUUACGUUUGCUUUGUAAUAAUAUCGUCUAUAUGUUAGAAACAUUAUUUUGUCGCAACACAUGUCUUCGUUAAUUUAUUAAUUGUUUAUUUAUCUGAUGGUAAUUAAAAUAGCAAUUUAAUUAAAACUAAUAUGUAGUUUUAAUCUGUGCAAUUAUAAAUACAUGUUAACAUAAAUAAUGCUAACUCAAAUACAUGAUCAAAUAGUCGUCUAGUGUAAACACAACAUCUAUUUAGUAGUUUUUGCGUGUCAUUCACGCGCUGUUUCUACGUUGUUGUCGUUCGCUCGCGCGCAGCCGCCCCCACCCCCGCGCUCUCGUUGUCGAGCUGCCCAUGGUGCCCGGCGACCAGGCCGCCUCUCUCCUGUGUCCACCUCGGCCACCGGCGAGAGCCCGUGAGCAGUAGGGCGCUCGUGCGCAGCCGCGCUCCCCAAGUCAGCGAGCCGCCGCGGCCGAGUCACCGCGCGCUCGGCACGCCCAGCACUCCGCCAUGGCUAGCUAUGGUGACCGAACUGCCGAGCCCGACCCCCCCGAUGUCCCUGCAGCCCGCCCCGGUCGUUCGUCUACCUUCGCCGUGCCUCGGGCUCGCUAUUAGCCAUGUCGUGCACGUCAAAUCACGCGUGUGCAGCGCCUCGCCAUGCUCUCGCAGCCGUCAUCGCGCAACUAGUGCACGCACUCGCGUUCGCUUGCGCGCAGUGCGUCGACGGGACUCCGUCUACGUUCGUCUACCCCCUCGUCUACGUCCGUCUACCCCUCGUCUACCCCCAUGUGCAUUCGUGUCGCUCGCCAUCGCCCGCGCGCCGCGACAUCGUUUGCUCAUCGCGUUCUGUUCGCGCGCGUUGCGCAUGCUGUUCGCACGUGUCGUCGUGCGUUCUACACACGUUAAUAAUUCGCCUCACCUAGAAUAGCUCGCGUUAAUUAAAUACAUAUUUAAGCAACGAUUAUUCGAACAACAAACUAAUCAGGACUAAGUAUUAAUUUUACCUGGCAUAUGAUUAAUGUCCGUUAAUAUGAUUAAACCGAAUUAAAUGUUAUAAUUCAUAUUUGCUUAGUGUAAACGUGAUAUCCCUCGACCGUAGCGUCAGUCGUCUCAGUUCCGUUCUCGCGUAGUCGUAGAUGCGAAUUCUAUGUCGCGUGCAUAUUCAUUUGAUCUAUAUUGUUGUAUGGUGUACUGUUUUCUACCAUUUCAAGAAUGUUGGAUGUAUGUUUGCACUCGCGUAGAUAUCGGGCCGUUCGUGGAGUCUGAGGGAAUUGCAGGAGAAGACCCUGAGCAGC
RNAcentral lists this long non-coding RNA (2483 nucleotides) under Zea mays. RNAcentral describes it as "long non-coding RNA (ZMAY_LNC001481)". The record is from RNAcentral. Lineage: Eukaryota; Viridiplantae; Streptophyta; Magnoliopsida; Poales; Poaceae.